UACGUAGGGGGCGAGCGUUGUCCGGAGUUACUGGGCGUAAAGCGCCCGCAGGCGGUGGGGUCAGUUUGGGGUGACAGGUCUCGGCUUAACUGAGACAGUGCCUCAAAGACUGCCGCACUUGAGGGCCACAGAGGGACAGGGAACUCCAGGUGUAGUGGUGAAAUGCGUAGAUAUCUGGAAGAACACCAAUGGCGAAGGCACUGUCCUGGGUGGCACCUGACGCUGAGGGGCGAAGCCAGGGGAGC
RNAcentral lists this ribosomal RNA (245 nucleotides) under uncultured Thermogemmatispora sp. Its description in RNAcentral is "partial 16S ribosomal RNA". It matches the Rfam family "Bacterial small subunit ribosomal RNA", at positions 524 to 769 of the family's 1533-position model. Lineage: Bacteria; Bacillati; Chloroflexota; Ktedonobacteria; Thermogemmatisporales; Thermogemmatisporaceae. The record is from RNAcentral.